Molecule: long non-coding RNA, 511 nt
Filed under: Homo sapiens (human)
Lineage: Eukaryota; Metazoa; Chordata; Mammalia; Primates; Hominidae
Description: HSALNT0378408
Source: RNAcentral
CCACAAGUGGGUUGAAAAUAAGCUAAUUGUAUAGGACAGAAAAAGGAAAAGGGGAGGGGUCAUAAGGCGAUAUAAGCAUAAGACACCCAAGCCAGAAACAGCAACCCUUCUGGGUCCCCUUCCACCACGCAGAAGCUUUACUUUCGCUUUCACUUUACUUUUGCUUUCACUUUAACAAAUCUUGCAGCCGCACACUCUUUGGGUCCGCCCGUUUCUCUAAUCAAGUUGUAACACUCGCUGCUGUGGUCCACAGCUUCAUUCCUUGAAGCCCGUGAGACACGAACGCUUCCAUUGAGAAAAACCUUCCAUCAGAAGAAGACUUCUCGUCUCAGUGGGACUGCUGAGUUGAAUGGUGCUUUUUUUUCUGAAGCUUUGGUAGUGUAACUGUAAGAGUCCUGGAAUUGGAAAAGCAAAUCCAGAAGUUGAGUUCCAUGACUUUUUUGCUGUUUGCCUUUGGGUCCUUGCUUCCCCUUCCCCUUUUGCCAUGAUUGCAAGUAUCCUGAGGCCUCCC